GCCGAGGUGGUGAAAUUGGCAGACACGCUGGUCUUAGAAGCCAGUGCCUUGCGGCGUAGGGGUUCAAGUCCCCUCCUCGGCA
This 82-nucleotide transfer RNA is filed under the name Bacteroidota bacterium. Its description in RNAcentral is "Bacteroidetes bacterium (wastewater metagenome) tRNA-Leu". It matches the Rfam family "tRNA". From Rfam's summary of the family: Transfer RNA (tRNA) molecules are approximately 80 nucleotides in length. Their secondary structure includes four short double-helical elements and three loops (D, anti-codon, and T loops). Further hydrogen bonds mediate the characteristic L-shaped molecular structure. tRNAs have two regions of fundamental functional importance: the anti-codon, which is responsible for specific mRNA codon recognition, and the 3' end, to which the tRNAs corresponding amino acid is attached (by aminoacyl-tRNA synthetases). tRNAs cope with the degeneracy of the genetic code in two manners: having more than one tRNA (with a specific anti-codon) for a particular amino acid; and 'wobble' base-pairing, i.e. permitting non-standard base-pairing at the 3rd anti-codon position. Lineage: Bacteria; Pseudomonadati; Bacteroidota. The record is from RNAcentral.